UACAGAGGGUGCGAGCGUUAAUCGGAUUUACUGGGCGUAAAGGGUGCGUAGGUGGUCACGAAAGUCGGAUGUGAAAGCCCCGGGCUCAACCUGGGAAUGCCAUUCGAUACUCCGCGACUAGAAUUCGGUAGAGGGAGGCGGAACUCCAGGUGUAGCGGUGAAAUGCGUAGAUAUCUGGAGGAACAUCAGUGGCGAAGGCGGCACCCUGGACUCAUACUGACACUGAGGUGCGAAAGCGUGGGUAUCAAACAGG
RNAcentral lists this ribosomal RNA (253 nucleotides) under uncultured bacterium. RNAcentral describes it as "partial 16S ribosomal RNA". It matches the Rfam family "Bacterial small subunit ribosomal RNA", at positions 524 to 776 of the family's 1533-position model. The record is from RNAcentral.